Polaribacter sp. KT25b is the source of this 92-nucleotide small RNA. It matches the Rfam family "Flavo-1 RNA". Lineage: Bacteria; Pseudomonadati; Bacteroidota; Flavobacteriia; Flavobacteriales; Flavobacteriaceae. The record is from Rfam.
AACUAACAUUCCGCGUUAAGGAUAGCAAUGGAAAUCCUUUUUUUGCUGCCAUUUAUGGCAAAAAAAGAUUGAAAUGGAUAGCCUGUUAAAAC